Molecule: ribosomal RNA, 237 nt
Filed under: uncultured bacterium
Lineage: Bacteria
Description: partial 16S ribosomal RNA
Rfam family: Bacterial small subunit ribosomal RNA
Source: RNAcentral
UGAGCAAUCUGCCCUUCUCAUCGGAAUAAGCGUUGGAAACGACGUCUAAUGCCGAAUACGACCUCCUUUCGCAUGAUCGGAGGUGGAAAGCUCCGGCGGAGAAGGAUGAGCUCGCGGCCUAUCAGCUAGUUGGUGUGGGUAACGCCCACCAAGGCGACGACGGGUAGCCGGCCUGAGGAGGGUGACCGGCCACACUGGGACUGAGACACGGCCCAGACCUCCGUACGGGAGGNAGCG